GCACCUGUGGUGAAGUGGCUUAACGCGGCGGUCUGCAAAACCGUUAUUCGCAGGUUCGAAUCCUGUCAGGUGCU
This 74-nucleotide transfer RNA is filed under the name compost metagenome. RNAcentral describes it as "tRNA-Cys". It matches the Rfam family "tRNA". Rfam says of the family: Transfer RNA (tRNA) molecules are approximately 80 nucleotides in length. The record is from RNAcentral.